CCUAGAGUUGUAGGCUUUGCCUGCUAUCUCUUACCCAUGUCUUUUGAGUACCUUCGUUUCCUCGGCGGGUCCGCCCGCCGAUUGGACAAUUUGAACCAUUUGCAGUUGCAAUCAGCGUCUGAAAAACUUAAUAGUUA
RNAcentral lists this unclassified non-coding RNA (137 nucleotides) under soil metagenome. RNAcentral's name for it is "partial internal transcribed spacer 1". The record is from RNAcentral.